UUCAGUGUGGCAUAGUGGUUCAAGCAUUGGACUAUGACUCUGGAGGCCAGGGUUCAAUUCCCAGCUUGGCCA
Non-coding RNA from Phrynosoma platyrhinos (Desert horned lizard), 72 nucleotides. The record is from the annotation of a GenBank genome assembly. Lineage: Eukaryota; Metazoa; Chordata; Lepidosauria; Squamata; Phrynosomatidae.